AGCACUUUAAGAAGAAAAGGACGGAGGAGCAGGGUUAGAACGGGCAUCAGAAACAGGAAGGCUGCAGAUGCAUCCGAUGGAAGAAGGGGAAGUGUUUUCUUGCUGACCGCCUUGCUCGCUUCCUGUGCCUAGAGCGAUGGAAUGCUUCUGAGCUAUCAGAUGACUUGUGGAGGUCUGGUAUUUUCUAUCUUUGCCUCUACUGCUAUCCGCCACUUCCAGAGAUGUACUAGCUGAGCUUGUAGAUCUGAUUUAUGGAGGGUUUCUAAAGACAACUUUCAGCUGUGUAUUUGUAUGCAGCUCUCUGUAUGGGCUACUCAACAGGCAUUCAGAUUUAGGGGG
RNAcentral lists this long non-coding RNA (339 nucleotides) under Equus caballus (horse). RNAcentral's name for it is "lncRNA (ENSECAG00000034964.3)". Lineage: Eukaryota; Metazoa; Chordata; Mammalia; Perissodactyla; Equidae. The record is from RNAcentral.